This 917-nucleotide ribosomal RNA is filed under the name Coleosoma octomaculatum. RNAcentral's name for it is "SSU rRNA". It matches the Rfam family "Eukaryotic small subunit ribosomal RNA", at positions 33 to 956 of the family's 1831-position model. The record is from RNAcentral. Lineage: Eukaryota; Metazoa; Arthropoda; Arachnida; Araneae; Theridiidae.
CNNUNCNAAGAUAGCCAGCANGUCUAGUACAUGCCGUAUUAAGGCGAAACCGCGAAUGGCUCAUUAAAUCAGUUAUGGUUCCUUGGAUCGUACCUUACUACUUGGAUAACUGUGGCAAUUCUAGAGCUAAUACAUGCAGCAGAGCUCCGACCUUCGGGGACGAGCGCUUUUAUUAGACCAAAACCAAUCGGGCCUCGUGUCCGUUCUACGUGGUGACUCUGUAUAACUUUGGGCUGAUCGCACGGGCUCGUCCCGGCGACGUAUCUUUCAAGUGUCUGCCUUAUCAACUGUCGAUGGUAGGUUACGCGCCUACCAUGGUCGUAACGGGUAACGGGGAAUCAGGGUUCGAUUCCGGAGAGGGAGCCUGAGAAACGGCUACCACAUCCAAGGAAGGCAGCAGGCGCGCAAAUUACCCACUCCCGGCUCGGGGAGGUAGUGACGAAAAAUAACAAUACGGGACUCUUUUGAGACCCCGUAAUUGGAAUGAGUACACUCUAAAUCCUUUAACGAGGAUCCAUUGGAGGGAAAGUCUGGUGCCAGCCGCCGCGGUAACUCCAGCUCCAAUAGCGUAUAUUAAAGUUGUUGCGGUUAAAAAGCUCGUAGUUGGAUCUCAGUUCCAGACGGGUGGUCCGCCUACCGGUGGUCACUGCCCGGUCUGAGCAUUGCCGCCGAAAUUGUCCGAUGAUCUUUACCGGUUGUCGUUCGGUUUCGGCAAUUUUACUUUGAAAAAAUUAGAGUGCUCAAAGCAUGCGUGACGCAUGAAUAAUGGUGCAUGGAAUAAUGGAAUAGGACCUCGGUUCUAUUUUGUUGGUUUUCGGAACACGAGGUAAUGAUUAAGAGGGACAGACGGGGGCAUUCGUAUUGCGACGCUAGAGGUGAAAUUCUUGGACCGUCGCAAGACGANUANGAGANUUUUU